RNAcentral lists this ribosomal RNA (377 nucleotides) under uncultured Peniculida. RNAcentral's name for it is "partial small subunit ribosomal RNA". It matches the Rfam family "Eukaryotic small subunit ribosomal RNA", at positions 30 to 432 of the family's 1831-position model. Lineage: Eukaryota; Ciliophora; Oligohymenophorea; Peniculida. The record is from RNAcentral.
GCUUGUCUCAAAGAUUAAGCCAUGCAUGUCUAAGUAUAAACAAAUCUAUACUGUGAAACUGCGAAUGGCUCAUUAUAUCAGUUAUAGUUUAUUUGAUGGUUCUUGCUACUUGGAUAACCGUGGUAAAUCUAUGGCUAAUACAUGCGCAAAGGCCCGACCCUGAAGGGCUGUAUUUAUUAGAUCUAACCAUCAUUUGGUGAAUCAUAGUAACUGAUCGGACCGUGCGUUAGCGCGGUAAAUCGUUCAAGUUUCUGCCCUAUCAGCUUUCGAUGGUAGUGUAUUGGACUACCAUGGCAGUCACGGGUAACGGAGAAUUAGGGUUCGGUUCCGGAGAGGGAGCCUGAGAAACGGCUACCACAUCUAAGGAAGGCAGCAGG